GAUGAAGAGCGCAGCGAAAUGCGAUAAGUAAUGCGAAUUGCAGAAUUCAGUGAGUCAUCGAAUCUUUGAACGCACAUUGCGCCCUGUGGUAUUCCGCAGGGCAUGCCUGUUCGAGCGUCAUUUCAACCCUCAAGCUCUGCUUGGUGUUGGGCCCUGCCCGCUGCGGCCGGCCCUAAAGACAGUGGCGGUGCCGCCUGGCCCUGAGCGUAGUACAUCUCUCGCUCCAGUGCCCGGUGGUAGCCUGCCAGAACCCCAACUCUCGUGGUUGACCUCGGAUCAGGUAGGGAUACCCGCUGAACUUAAGCAUAUCAAUAAGCGGAGGA
RNAcentral lists this unclassified non-coding RNA (323 nucleotides) under soil metagenome. RNAcentral's name for it is "partial contains 5.8S ribosomal RNA, internal transcribed spacer 2, and large subunit ribosomal RNA". The stretch from base 1 to 120 matches the Rfam family "5.8S ribosomal RNA", at positions 35 to 154 of the family's 154-position model. The record is from RNAcentral.